ACGGAAGGCAGCAGUGGGGAAUAUUGCACAAUGGGCGAAAGCCUGAUGCAGCGACGCCGCGUGAGCGAAGAAGUAUUUCGGUAUGUAAAGCUCUAUCAGCAGGGAAGAUAAUGACGGUACCUGACUAAGAAGCACCGGCUAAAUACGUGCCAGCAGCCGCGGUAAUACGUAUGGUGCAAGCGUUAUCCGGAUUUACUGGGUGUAAAGGGAGCGCAGGCGGUACGGCAAGUCUGAUGUGAAAGCCCGGGGCUCAACCCCGGUACUGCAUUGGAAACUGUCGAACUAGAGUGUCGGAGGGGUAAGUGGAAUUCCUAGUGUAGCGGUGAAAUGCGUGGAUAUUAGGAGGAACACCAGUGGCGAAGGCGGCUUACUGGACGAUAACUGACGCUGAGGCUCGAAAGCGUGGGGAGCAAACAGGAUUAGAUACCCUGGUA
Molecule: ribosomal RNA, 434 nt
Filed under: uncultured Roseburia sp.
Lineage: Bacteria; Bacillati; Bacillota; Clostridia; Lachnospirales; Lachnospiraceae
Description: partial 16S ribosomal RNA
Rfam family: Bacterial small subunit ribosomal RNA
Source: RNAcentral